This 429-nucleotide ribosomal RNA is filed under the name bacterium. Its description in RNAcentral is "partial 16S ribosomal RNA". It matches the Rfam family "Bacterial small subunit ribosomal RNA", at positions 355 to 776 of the family's 1533-position model. The record is from RNAcentral.
UAGGGAAUCUUCGGCAAUGGGGGCAACCCUGACCGAGCAACGCCGCGUGAGUGAAGAAGGUUUUCGGAUCGUAAAGCUCUGUUGUAAGAGAAGAACGUGUGUGAGAGUGGAAAGUUCACACAGUGACGGUAACUUACCAGAAAGGGACGGCUAACUACGUGCCAGCAGCCGCGGUAAUACGUAGGUCCCGAGCGUUGUCCGGAUUUAUUGGGCGUAAAGCGAGCGCAGGCGGUUUAAUAAGUCUGAAGUUAAAGGCAGUGGCUUAACCAUUGUUCGCUUUGGAAACUGUUAAACUUGAGUGCAGAAGGGGAGAGUGGAAUUCCAUGUGUAGCGGUGAAAUGCGUAGAUAGAUGGAGGAACACCGGUGGCGAAAGCGGCUCUCUGGUCUGUAACUGACGCUGAGGCUCGAAAGCGUGGGGAGCAAACAGG